RNAcentral lists this unclassified non-coding RNA (265 nucleotides) under Hevea brasiliensis (rubber tree). The record is from RNAcentral. Lineage: Eukaryota; Viridiplantae; Streptophyta; Magnoliopsida; Malpighiales; Euphorbiaceae.
CUUCCUUCCUUCUUUCAAAGCUUUUCUUAUGUCUGCUGCCUUCCACGCUGCAUACUUCUGCUUCUGCUCAAGAUCAGGCUGGAGUUCACCAAACUGAUUAAGGAUCUCAAAGAAGAUACUCGCAGCAUAAAACGUCUUUGCUGUAUUCAAGUCUGCUCGCCCAGCUCGAUCUUGUUUGUCAGCCUUGGCGAAAACAUUCAAGGCAAAUCCCUCCACAUGCAAAUGAUCAUCAGGCCCCAAUUUCAGUGACUUCUUAUCCUUUUCA